RNAcentral lists this ribosomal RNA (446 nucleotides) under uncultured bacterium. RNAcentral's name for it is "bacterial SSU rRNA". It matches the Rfam family "Bacterial small subunit ribosomal RNA", at positions 329 to 792 of the family's 1533-position model. The record is from RNAcentral.
CACCAGACUCCUACGGGAGGCAGCAGUGGGGAAUAUUGCACAAUGGGGGAAACCCUGAUGCAGCGACGCCGCGUGAGCGAUGAAGUAUUUCGGUAUGUAAAGCUCUAUCAGCAGGGAAGAAGAUGACGGUACCUGAAGAAGAAGCCCCGGCUAACUACGUGCCAGCAGCCGCGGUAAUACGUAGGGGGCAAGCGUUAUCCGGAUUUACUGGGUGUAAAGGGGGCGCAGACGGCGAUGCAAGCCAGGAGUGAAAGCCCGGGGCCCAACCCCGGGACUGCUCUUGGAACUGCGUGGCUGGAGUGCAGGAGGGGCAGGCGGAAUUCCUGGUGUAGCGGUGAAAUGCGUAGAUAUCAGGAGGAACACCGGUGGCGAAGGCGGCCUGCUGGACUGCAACUGACGUUGAGGCCCGAAAGCGUGGGGAGCAAACAGGAUUAGAUACCCUAGUA